UGAAGUGUACCUUUCUCGGGGGGGUUGCAUUUUUCCUCUUGGUGAAUGGCUGUGUCAGUGUUUACAUAUGUAUUAUUACAUUUGGUUGUAGACGAUUGAGUGAAUCAUUAGGGCCUUUUUUUUUGUCCUUUACCAUGAAUUUUUAGUGUACUCCUCUUAAGUAUAUUUACCUUUCUGUGACUCAUCAGUGUCUAUAAACAUUUAAGCGGAAAAAUUCUUUAAAUACAUUUGAAUUU
Molecule: long non-coding RNA, 236 nt
Filed under: Lathyrus oleraceus (garden pea)
Lineage: Eukaryota; Viridiplantae; Streptophyta; Magnoliopsida; Fabales; Fabaceae
Description: Pisum sativum (pea) long non-coding RNA (PSAT_LNC000856)
Source: RNAcentral